Long non-coding RNA from Saccostrea cuccullata (small rock oyster), 1755 nucleotides. RefSeq lists it as uncharacterized. The transcript has 3 exons. The record is from RefSeq and is a predicted model, not a curated record. NCBI's taxonomy places the organism in Eukaryota, Metazoa, Mollusca, Bivalvia, Ostreida, Ostreidae.
GUUGUAUGAGUGUGAGCAUUUUACAUAACAAAUAUUGGAACGAAAGUUGUAAAAGUUGCAUUCAAAAUAAUGUCAGUUAAAGUGUUUAUAUUAUUAAAUAAUUAAUAAUAUUGUACAUUCAAAUUUACUUUUAAUUUUUUUUUUGAUUAAAAAUGAGUAUUAAAAUAUAUGCAUUGUCAUCGAGUACGUCUCGUAUUUUUACGACAACAGACCCGUUUCCGAUCUCCAUAGUAACGACAGCGCUGGAUUUCCCAAAAUGACGAACAAUGGAAUAUGGGACGUGCCGAGGGCGGCUUUGCCACUCGCAAACGGAUUUUUUAACUACAGAAACCAGUCAGAAGCAGAAGUUGAUUAGUGUCUAUUCAAAAACCGACAGCAGAAUACAUCUACAAAUGAAGUUCGGGAAGGAAUUUUGCAGGCUUCUGGAUGUGCUGUAGAGGAGUUCUCAUGAUAAAGACAGAUUACCAGCAAGGAGGUUUUUUAUUGCCAGAGCAUAUGCUACACAUAUACUACAAAUUUUGGCCAUCAAUGGAGAAAACCACUUCAACCAGUACAUAUUUACAUGUUCAUGUACUACCAAAGACUCCAAUUCAUCCAAAAGUAAGAGAGAUAACAGUACUGGAAUUAGAACCUGGGGAAUGAAAAUGUACCACAAUGACAAAGAGUGAGGUGAAAGCAGUAAACAUAAGGACAGAUUCUAUACAAGCUCUUUGGAUUUUUUGUCUACCAAUGACAGUGUGGUGGAACUUGGUCGAAAUAUAAGAAAUUAUGAUGUUCCUGUACUUUUUCAUGCAUUGAUAUACUUGUGAAAAUAUGGGGAAAAAUGUCACACAGGUUCAUAGUUUUCUAGAUACUCUUCCAUUAUUUAAACUAGUCAAGUUUUGUCUGAGCUCAUGAAACAACAGUCUGAGCUCAUAAUACAACAUAAUUAUAAUAAUUGUUUUAUAUGCUUGUAAUGAAAGUUCAGGUAUAACAUUUAUUUCAUAAAAUUUGUACAAUAUUCAUUUCAAUACAUAUUGUAUAAUUUGGAAAUGUUAUUGGAAUAAUUUUAUUAGUAAACAUGAAAAUUUUGCAGAGAAAGGAUGUUCAGAGGAAAUUUGGGCUGAAUAUUUUCUAAAUAGCUCCACUCUUUUUUUCUGAAACUUGGACUCAUUGAUUGAUUGUUGUCAUAUUUCAUGUAAAACCUAUGCAUUUUUUGUUUCCAUUAGUCUGCAUGUACUAAGUAAAUUAUGUGACAAGGAUUCAUAUUUCUCAUAUCUCAUUGUUAGUCAAUGGACAAUAAUAGCUAGCAUUGUAAGGUCGUACACUGUGAAACAUCAACUUUUAAUAUAUUUUGUUUUUUAUUUUACAAAUAAAAGUUGUUCAGGUAAUUUAUAGAUCAUAAAAUUGUGCCAUGUUCAUUUUUCAUUUAGAUUGUUUUUAUUGAAAUGUAACUGAUUUUAGAGAAGUCGUAAGCAUGAAAAUUUUGCAGAGAAAAGUUGAUCAGAGGAAUUUCUGGCUAAUUAUUUUCAAAAUGGCUCCACUCUUUUUUCUUAAACUUGGACAAAAUAAUUAAUUGCUGAACAUUAUAGUUCAUGUAAAGACUUUGCAUUUUUUAUUUCCAUUACUCUGCAUAUUGUAAAAUAUGUGAUAACAAUUCAUAUAUUUCUCAUAUUUUAUUGUUUCGAAUCAUAGGACAGUAUAGAUGGCUAUGGAGGACAUUUAAUGAAACAACAUUUUUUUAUUUUACAAAUGAAUAUUGUUUAGAUAAAAUAU